GGGGGAACCGCAGUGCCGCAGCUCCGCCGGUACCGGAACCCCCGGAGAGGCCCUGCAAUCUCCUGUCCGGCGCCGCUGACAAAUGGCGAAGUAAAUGGGACAGAUUGGGGACUGCUGCCGUAAAUCACAGCGCGGUGCUGCAGGUCACUUCAGAAGGAUGCAGGCGGUCAGACAGCUCCGCUGCGCCCGUCCCUGGGCCGUGCUGGGGGGGGGGUCUGCGUUGUGCACCCUGCCCCCCCUGCAGCCACGUGUGCCCACGUCUGAGGAGCGCCGUGCCGGGAGUCACU
This is a long non-coding RNA of Tympanuchus pallidicinctus (lesser prairie-chicken), 287 nucleotides long. RefSeq lists it as uncharacterized. NCBI's taxonomy places the organism in Eukaryota, Metazoa, Chordata, Aves, Galliformes, Phasianidae. The record is from RefSeq and is a predicted model, not a curated record. The transcript has 3 exons.